UCCAAGUGAUUUGAAGUGUUCUGGUCAUUGCAAUGUGAGGAUGAGGAUCACUGUGGGUAACAACUCACAAUCCUGCUGGAAGGCAUGGCCUGGAUCAAGGAUAAACUGAGAUCCUGCAAAAGAGAGUGAGUUGCUCAAUGGGAGACUGAGCUCUGUUAAGUUUACAGAUACUUGACUGAAUAAAGGGUGCUUAUCUGGACCUGUAAGUUUAAAAUAGAAAAGCUUGAGGACCUUGGACAGACUACGAAAGGCUUCAGUUGAAAUGAGCAUAUCCUAGGAUCAAGGAGAAGGAUGCUUCAAGAAAAACUUCUAGUGGAAUCAGAAUAUAUUAUGUCUCUUCAUUGCAAGGUAUGAGGGUUAAAAGGCUUCCUUCCAUACCUGAAGGACAGGAUGCCAUCCAGAGAGACCUUGCCAAGAUUGAGAAGUGGGCCCAUGGGAAUGUCAGGAGGUUUAAUAGGACCAGGUGCUGCACCUUGGCUGAGGCAACCCCUGGUAUCAAUCCAGAUUGAGGGAUGAACAGAUCGAGAGCAGCUCUGCUGAGAAGGACUUGUGGGUGCUGGUGGGUGUGAGGCUGGACAUGACCCAGCAAUGUGCACUCACAGCCCAGAACACCAAAUGUGUCCUGGGCUGCAUCCAAAGCACUGUGGGC
Long non-coding RNA from Myiozetetes cayanensis, 649 nucleotides. RefSeq lists it as uncharacterized. NCBI's taxonomy places the organism in Eukaryota, Metazoa, Chordata, Aves, Passeriformes, Tyrannidae. The record is from RefSeq and is a predicted model, not a curated record. The transcript is spliced from 3 exons.